UGGAUCCAGACUUUGAUCCUGGCUCAGGAUGAACGCUGGCGGCGUGCCUAAUACAUGCAAGUCGAACGAAACUUCUUUAUCACCGAGUGCUUGCACUCACCGAUAAAGAGUUGAGUGGCGAACGGGUGAGUAACACGUGGGCAACCUGCCCAAAAGAGGGGGAUAACACUUGGAAACAGGUGCUAAUACCGCAUAACCAUAGUUACCGCAUGGUAACUAUGUAAAAGGUGGCUAUGCUACCGCUUUUGGAUGGGCCCGCGGCGCAUUAGCUAGUUGGUGGGGUAAAGGCUUACCAAGGCAAUGAUGCGUAGCCGAACUGAGAGGUUGAUCGGCCACAUUGGGACUGAGACACGGCCCAAACUCCUACGGGAGGCAGCAGUAGGGAAUCUUCCACAAUGGGCGAAAGCCUGAUGGAGCAACGCCGCGUGGGUGAAGAAGGUCUUCGGAUCGUAAAACCCUGUUGUUAGAGAAGAAAGUGCGUGAGAGUAACUGUUCACGUUUCGACGGUAUCUAACCAGAAAGCCACGGCUAACUACGUGCCAGCAGCCGCGGUAAUACGUAGGUGGCAAGCGUUAUCCGGAUUUAUUGGGCGUAAAGGGAACGCAGGCGGUCUUUUAAGUCUGAUGUGAAAGCCUUCGGCUUAACCGGAGUAGUGCAUUGGAAACUGGGAGACUUGAGUGCAGAAGAGGAGAGCGGAACUCCAUGUGUAGCGGUGAAAUGCGUAGAUAUAUGGAAGAACACCAGUGGUGAAAGCGGCUCUCUGGUCUGUAACUGACGCUGAGGUUCGAAAGCGUGGGUAGCAAACAGGAUUAGAUACCCUGGUAGUCCACGCCGUAAACGAUGAAUGCUAAGUGUUGGAGGGUUUCCGCCCUUCAGUGCUGCAGCUAACGCAAUAAGCAUUCCGCCUGGGGAGUACGACCGCAAGGUUGCAACUCAAAGGAAUUGACGGA
Molecule: ribosomal RNA, 950 nt
Filed under: uncultured Bacillota bacterium
Lineage: Bacteria; Bacillati; Bacillota
Description: bacterial SSU rRNA
Rfam family: Bacterial small subunit ribosomal RNA
Source: RNAcentral